RNAcentral lists this ribosomal RNA (460 nucleotides) under uncultured bacterium. RNAcentral's name for it is "partial 16S ribosomal RNA". It matches the Rfam family "Bacterial small subunit ribosomal RNA", at positions 338 to 795 of the family's 1533-position model. The record is from RNAcentral.
CCUACGGGUGGCAGCAGUGAGGAAUAUUGGUCAAUGGACGAAAGUCUGAACCAGCCAUGCCGCGUGCAGGAAGACGGCUCUAUGAGUUGUAAACUGCUUUUGUACAAGGGUAAACCUGAAUACGUGUAUUCAGCUGAAAGUACUGUACGAAUAAGGAUCGGCUAACUCCGUGCCAGCAGCCGCGGUAAUACGGAGGAUCCAAGCGUUAUCCGGAUUUAUUGGGUUUAAAGGGAGCGUAGGCCGCAUGUCAAGCGUGCUGUGAAAUGUCCGGGCUCAACCCGGGCCUUGCAGCGCGAACUGGCGUGCUUGAGUCCGCGGAAAGCAGGCGGAAUUCGUCGUGUAGCGGUGAAAUGCUUAGAUAUGACGAAGAACCCCGAUUGCGAAGGCAGCUUGCUGCAGCGGAACUGACGCUGAUGCUCGAAAGCGCGGGUAUCGAACAGGAUUAGAUACCCGAGUAGUC